This 432-nucleotide long non-coding RNA is filed under the name Mytilus galloprovincialis (Mediterranean mussel). Lineage: Eukaryota; Metazoa; Mollusca; Bivalvia; Mytilida; Mytilidae. The record is from RNAcentral.
GUUUAUGUAUCGAUAUGACAAAAUAUAUGGAUUCUGAGUACUUUUAGAUGAAAAAAUUGCAAAAAAGGCUACUUCCGGUUUUCUCAAGGUCACUUCCGGUAGUCAUUUUUCAAGGUCAUUUGUCACCAAACCUUUUGUACAAGGUCAAAUGCCUUUAUAAUGAACUUAGUUGAAGUUAUAAUCAAAUAACCUCAUAUCAAGACAUUUCAGGGGCAACAACUCCUCUAAGAUGCCAUUUAAUAGUAUAAGACUAAAUGUAGCAUAUCUUCAUUACAAUAAAGCUGACAUUUUGCACUUGUUUUUUAAUAUGUAUCUUUCAAAUUGUCGGAAAAAAUGCAAAAAACAAGCAAAAGUCACAAUUGAGAACUUGACCUUGACCUUUGACCUUGACUUCAUUUUCUAAGUUAGGACCUAGGGGACUCAAAUAAAAAC